AGUGAACGCUGGCGGUAGGCCUAACACAUGCAAGUCGAACGGCAGCACAGUAAGAGCUUGCUCUUACGGGUGGCGAGUGGCGGGCGGGUGAGGAAUACAUCGGAAUCUACUUUUUCGUGGGGGAUAACGUAGGGAAACUUACGCUAAUACCGCAUACGACCUACGGGUGAAAGCAGGGGAUCUUCGGACCUUGCGCGAUUGAAUGAGCCGAUGUCGGAUUAGCUAGUUGGCGGGGUAAAGGCCCACCAAGGCGACGAUCCGUAGCUGGUCUGAGAGGAUGAUCAGCCACACUGGAACUGAGACACGGUCCAGACUCCUACGGGAGGAAGCAGUGGGGAAUAUUGGACAAUGGGCGCAAGCCUGAUCCAGCCAUACCGCGUGGGUGAAGAAGGCCUUCGGGUUGUAAAGCCCUUUUGUUGGGAAAGAAAAGCAGCAGGUUAAUACCCCGCUGUUCUGACGGUACCCAAAGAAUAAGCACCGGCUAACUUCGUG
This 492-nucleotide ribosomal RNA is filed under the name uncultured bacterium. Its description in RNAcentral is "partial 16S ribosomal RNA". It matches the Rfam family "Bacterial small subunit ribosomal RNA", at positions 29 to 507 of the family's 1533-position model. The record is from RNAcentral.